Molecule: transfer RNA, 91 nt
Filed under: Leucogyrophana mollusca
Lineage: Eukaryota; Fungi; Basidiomycota; Agaricomycetes; Boletales
Description: tRNA-Arg
Rfam family: tRNA
About the family: Transfer RNA (tRNA) molecules are approximately 80 nucleotides in length. Their secondary structure includes four short double-helical elements and three loops (D, anti-codon, and T loops). Further hydrogen bonds mediate the characteristic L-shaped molecular structure. tRNAs have two regions of fundamental functional importance: the anti-codon, which is responsible for specific mRNA codon recognition, and the 3' end, to which the tRNAs corresponding amino acid is attached (by aminoacyl-tRNA synthetases). tRNAs cope with the degeneracy of the genetic code in two manners: having more than one tRNA (with a specific anti-codon) for a particular amino acid; and 'wobble' base-pairing, i.e. permitting non-standard base-pairing at the 3rd anti-codon position.
Source: RNAcentral
GGCCGCCUGGCGAAAUGGCAUCGCGUCUGACUACGAUCAAGCUGCUGCUUACGUUAUCAGGAGAUCGCAGGUUCGACCCCUGCGGUGGUCA